UAAAAAAUUUCACUUCCCUCUCUCUUGCAAGAUUAGUUUUAGAUUUUCCUUCCAAAAUUUCAAUUCCGCCACUCUCUCAAAGCUAAUAUAAGAUCUCUCACCCAAUUUUUCAGUUCUCUCAACUCUAACAAAAUAAUCGAAGAAUAGCUCUCUCUCGGUGUCCUCGUCUCUGACAUCUGCCCAGCCAAACAACCAUCGUUGCAGCGUCAUCGUCUUCGCCACAACGUGCCUAAGUUCGUUGCUUGUUGCUGACUGUCGCACAGAAUCUUAGGCUUCAUUGGACGAUGCUAUAGUGAUGAUGGAGCUUUGUAUUUCGAGAAAAAAGUUGUUGAUGCAUACAAACAUCAUGGACCUCUUGCAACCACAUCUUUAGUCGUUCGAGGGUUGAUAGAAUUUGCUAGUGUUACUUCUGGAAGCUUAAAUGUGCAUGGAGACAUAAAUUUACAUUUUGGUUCCUUAAUUUAUUAAAUAUGAAUUUGGUUUUCAUUUGUAGCUUACUGGCGAUACAAUGUUUGGUCUAACAAAAUUCUUCCUUGGCAUUAGAAUUCCUGGUGAUGCGAAAGACUUAUUUCAACCAAAUAGAUUCCUUGGCUUGCUUGGAGACAAAUAGACAAGUAUUUUAUUGUUAGUGAUAGUGACAGUUGGACUUGGUUGGUCAUAUGAUGAUAAUCUUUUAUCACGAACUUAAGACUUGGAGUUCUUUAUGGAACAUUCUUUUUUAAUAA
Long non-coding RNA from Benincasa hispida (wax gourd), 725 nucleotides. RefSeq lists it as uncharacterized. Lineage: Eukaryota; Viridiplantae; Streptophyta; Magnoliopsida; Cucurbitales; Cucurbitaceae. The record is from RefSeq and is a predicted model, not a curated record.